Sorghum bicolor (sorghum) is the source of this 107-nucleotide small nucleolar RNA. It matches the Rfam family "Plant small nucleolar RNA R71". Rfam says of the family: R71 is a member of the C/D box family of snoRNAs containing the C (UGAUGA) and D (CUGA) box motifs. Multiple nearly identical copies of this snoRNA have been identified in Arabidopsis, and it is thought to function as a 2'-O-ribose methylation guide for 18S ribosomal RNA. The record is from Rfam. Lineage: Eukaryota; Viridiplantae; Streptophyta; Magnoliopsida; Poales; Poaceae.
AUCCCAUGAUGAGGACAGGCAUGAAUGUACUAUUGGAGAUGUCCCCAUGCUUUGGGAAUUGUCUCAUCAGCUUGUUGUUGGAAGCUGGAAAUCUUUCCACGAAGGGC